Molecule: ribosomal RNA, 470 nt
Filed under: uncultured organism
Description: partial 16S ribosomal RNA
Rfam family: Bacterial small subunit ribosomal RNA
Source: RNAcentral
ACACUCCUACGGGAGGCAGCAGUGGGGAAUUUUGGACAAUGGGCGAAAGCCUGAUCCAGCAAUGCCGCGUGAGUGAAGAAGGCCUUCGGGUUGUAAAGCUCUUUUGUCAGGGAAGAAACGGUGAGAGCUAAUAUCUUUUGCUAAUGACGGUACCUGAAGAAUAAGCACCGGCUAACUACGUGCCAGCAGCCGCGGUAAUACGUAGGGUGCAAGCGUUAAUCGGAAUUACUGGGCGUAAAGCGUGCGCAGGCGGUUUUGUAAGUCUGAUGUGAAAUCCCCGGGCUCAACCUGGGAAUUGCAUUGGAGACUGCAAGGCUAGAAUCUGGCAGAGGGGGGUAGAAUUCCACGGGUAGCAGUGAAAUGCGUAGAUAUGUGGAGGAACACCGAUGGCGAAGGCAGCCCCCUGGGUCAAGAUUGACGCUCAUGCACGAAAGCGUGGGGAGCAAACAGGAUUAGAAACCCUGUAGUCC